RNAcentral lists this ribosomal RNA (318 nucleotides) under uncultured Pseudomonadota bacterium. RNAcentral describes it as "bacterial SSU rRNA". It matches the Rfam family "Bacterial small subunit ribosomal RNA", at positions 30 to 351 of the family's 1533-position model. The record is from RNAcentral. Lineage: Bacteria; Pseudomonadati; Pseudomonadota.
AUUGAACGCUGGCGGUAGGCCUAACACAUGCAAGUCGAACGCGAAAGUUCUUCGGAAUGAGUAGAGUGGCGGACGGGUGAGUAACGCGUAGGAAUCUGUCCUGUAGUGGGGGAUAACGUUCCGAAAGGAACGCUAAUACCGCAUACGCCCUACGGGGGAAAGCGGGGGAUCUUCGGACCUCGCGCUAUAGGAGGAGCCUGCGUCGGAUUAGCUAGUUGGUAGGGUAAAGGCCUACCAAGGCGACGAUCCGUAACUGGUCUGAGAGGAUGAUCAGUCACACCGGAACUGAGACACGGUCCGGACUCCUACGGGAGGCAG